Molecule: ribosomal RNA, 464 nt
Filed under: uncultured bacterium
Lineage: Bacteria
Description: partial 16S ribosomal RNA
Rfam family: Bacterial small subunit ribosomal RNA
Source: RNAcentral
GACGAACGCUGGCGGCGUGCUUAACACAUGCAAGUCGAACGGAAAGGCCCUGCUUGCAGGGUACUCGAGUGGCGAACGGGUGAGUAACACGUGGGUGAUCUGCCCUGCACUUCGGGAUAAGCCUGGGAAACUGGGUCUAAUACCGGAUAGGAGCCAUAUUUAGUGUGAUGGUUGGAAAGUUUUUUCGGUGUAGGAUGAGCUCGCGGCCUAUCAGCUUGUUGGUGGGGUAAUGGCCUACCAAGGCGGCGACGGGUAGCCGGCCUGAGAGGGUGGACGGCCACAUUGGGACUGAGAUACGGCCCAGACUCCUACGGGAGGCAGCAGUGGGGAAUAUUGCACAAUGGGCGCAAGCCUGAUGCAGCGACGCCGCGUGGGGGAUGACGGCCUUCGGGUUGUAAACUCCUUUCGCUAGGGACGAAGCUUUUGUGACGGUACCUAGAUAAGAAGCACCGGCUAACUACGUG